Molecule: ribosomal RNA, 468 nt
Filed under: uncultured bacterium
Lineage: Bacteria
Description: partial 16S ribosomal RNA
Rfam family: Bacterial small subunit ribosomal RNA
Source: RNAcentral
GACGAACGCUGGCGGCGUGCUUAACACAUGCAAGUCGAACGGAAAGGCCCUGCUUUUGUGGGGUGCUCGAGUGGCGAACGGGUGAGUAACACGUGAGUAACCUGCCCUUGACUUUGGGAUAACUUCAGGAAACUGGGGCUAAUACCGGAUAGGAGCUCCUGCUGCAUGGUGGGGGUUGGAAAGUUUCGGCGGUUGGGGAUGGACUCGCGGCUUAUCAGCUUGUUGGUGGGGUAGUGGCUUACCAAGGCUUUGACGGGUAGCCGGCCUGUGAGGGUGACCGGCCACAUUGGGACUGAGAUACGGCCCAGACUCCUACGGGAGGCAGCAGUGGGGAAUAUGGCACAAUGGGCGGAAGCCUGAUGCAGCAACGCCGCGUGCGGGAUGACGGCCUUCGGGUUGUAAACCGCUUUCGCCUGUGACGAAGCGUGAGUGACGGUAAUGGGUAAAGAAGCACCGGCUAACUACGUG